RNAcentral lists this ribosomal RNA (253 nucleotides) under uncultured bacterium. RNAcentral's name for it is "partial 16S ribosomal RNA". It matches the Rfam family "Bacterial small subunit ribosomal RNA", at positions 524 to 776 of the family's 1533-position model. The record is from RNAcentral.
UACGUAGGGUGCAAGCGUUGUCCGGAAUUAUUGGGCGUAAAGAGCUCGUAGGCGGUUUGUCGCGUCUGCUGUGAAAACGCGAGGCUCAACCUCGCGCCUGCAGUGGGUACGGGCAGACUAGAGUGCGGUAGGGGAGAUUGGAAUUCCUGGUGUAGCGGUGGAAUGCGCAGAUAUCAGGAGGAGCACCGAUGGCGAAGGCAGAUCUCUGGGCCGUAACUGACGCUGAGGAGCGAAAGCGUGGGGAGCGAACAGG